Molecule: ribosomal RNA, 253 nt
Filed under: uncultured bacterium
Lineage: Bacteria
Also listed under: 2 other names
Description: partial 16S ribosomal RNA
Rfam family: Bacterial small subunit ribosomal RNA
Source: RNAcentral
GACGGAGGGUGCUAGCGUUGUUCGGAAUUACUGGGCGUAAAGGGCGCGUAGGCGGCCCUGUCAGUCGGGUGUGAAAGCCCGGGGCUCAACCCCGGAACGGCACCCGAGACGGCAGGGCUGGAGACCGGGAGAGGAGGGUGGAAUAGCCAGUGUAGAGGUGAAAUUCGUAGAUAUUGGCUGGAACACCGGUGGCGAAAGCGGCUCUCUGGCCCGGUUCUGACGCUGAGGCGCGAAAGCGUGGGGAGCAAACAGG